GAGGGUAUAGCUCAGUGUUAGAGCAUGUGCUUAGCAUGCACAAGGUCCUGAGUUCAAUCCCUAGAAUCUCCA
RNAcentral lists this transfer RNA (72 nucleotides) under Camelus bactrianus (Bactrian camel). It matches the Rfam family "tRNA". From Rfam's summary of the family: Transfer RNA (tRNA) molecules are approximately 80 nucleotides in length. Lineage: Eukaryota; Metazoa; Chordata; Mammalia; Artiodactyla; Camelidae. RNAcentral also lists the same sequence under 2 other names. The record is from Rfam by way of RNAcentral.